UUUCACGGGGAGGGCAACACAUUUUGUUACUUUGGUCUAAACACAAUAAUCAACUGUGUCCUUCCUCAAACUCAAAUGUUACUGACACAAACUUCUCAGGAGUCUCGGGAGUCAGGGAGGGGCUGCAAGUGGGGAUAAAGUGGGAGGACUCCUGUCUCCUGUAGAAGAGGUGCCGCACAGCUUUUACUAGCCUGCUGACUCACCUUUGCAAUGCAAACAACCCUCACCACCCCAUGCACCACCGCCUGGAACUUCUAAGAAGGAUGUCAUCAGGCCCCAGUACUGUGGCGGUGGACUUCUGGUCCGGAGAACUGUGGGAAAUGAGUUUCUAUUUUUAGCACCUGUCCUCUUCUGUUAUAGCAACAGAGACCAACCGAAACAGAGUUUCAACUAACGACCUUAUCUUCAAACUGGAAACAGAGUUUCAACAAACGACCGUGUCUUCAAACUGGAGGAAACAUGAACAGUAUAUGCUUUCCAGAGAUGUUGCUGUCAUCAAAAAUGGAGAAAGGAGAAAGAGAAGGACCUACUCCAGGCUGAAUGGGGCCAAGGAGGUGUGACAACUAAGUGUGCAUCGCUCCUAGAUCUGAGAGGCUUGUCCAUUUUAUGGCUGCUGAGAACUGACUGAUGACGCUCCCUUCCCUGUAGAUGCAUUAGACUCUCGUCAGAAAGGGUGCUGACUGGAGGGGCACCUCACCACGCAUGUCCUACGUCGUAAUUCUCAAUAGCUGCAGCCCCAGCCCCGCUCACUGCUUUCCGUAGUGUGGCCAUUCUGACUCUGUAGCUCCAGCGUAGGAAACAAAGUCUUGUCUGUGCAUGAAUCCAGCUGAACACAUCUGGUCCAUGUUGGUCAACUUGAAUAAAAGCCCUAGGCCUGCA
This 879-nucleotide small RNA is filed under the name Rattus norvegicus (Norway rat). Its description in RNAcentral is "uncharacterized LOC102554187". Lineage: Eukaryota; Metazoa; Chordata; Mammalia; Rodentia; Muridae. The record is from RNAcentral.